CAGGCUAAUAGUCGCUCGAGACAGCAUGGACUGCAAAGACACAGGAAACUGGAAGGCUCAGGAUCAUUACGGGAGUCGGAUUUGGUGACCUGAUUUCGAGUGGAUAACCGUGGCAAUUCUCGAGCUAAUACAUGCGUAACGGCUGAAUUCACGUUUAGCUGGUUUUAUUAGAUAUGAUGCCAACCAUUUGGUUGUGAUGAAUCAUGGUAACUGAUCGGAUCGCUCUGCGAUGAGUCAUCCAAGUCUCUGCCCUAUCAGCUCUCGAUGGUAGUGUAUUGGACUACCAUGGCAGUCACGGGUAACGGAGAAUUAGGGUUCGGUUCCGGAGAGGGAGCCUGAAAAACGGCUACCACAUCUAAGGAAGGCAGCAGGCGCGUAUAUUACCCAAUCCCCACUCGGGAAAGUAGUCACAAGACAUAACACCUCACGCUGACAAACUUCCAAUACGGCAAGGAUUGCCCCCAGCCAUAUACAUAAAAAAAAACUCGGUAAUAUACCAUUCUGACUCGAGUAUGACAGAUACACUCUGGUCAAGCUUCGGAUUGCAUGUUGUAAGUGACAAUUGAGGAACCAUGGAGCAAGUUCUGGUCAGCAGCCGCGUAUCCAGCUCCAAUAGCGUAUAUAAAGUGUUGCAGGUAAAAGCCUCGUAGUGACUCGUGGUCGUUUGAGGAUUCAUCUAAACGGGAUACAUCGUCUGCAGCAGAUCGUUCUGUGGGCAGACAGUUACCUUGAGAAAAUUAGAGUGUUCCCAGGCAGCGUAGUCCGGAUACAUUAGCAUGGAAUAAUGGAAGAUGUCUCGGAUCCCGUGUUGGUUGGGUGAAGAGAAAUGAUGAAUAGGGACAGUCGGGGGCAUUAGUAUUUAAUUGUCAGAGGUGAAAUUCUUGGAUUUAUUAAAGACUGACUUCUGCGAAAGCAUUUGCCAAGGAUGUUUUCAUUGAUCAAGAACGAAAGUUAGGGGAUCAAAGACGAUCAGAUACCGUCCUAGUCUUAACUAUAAACUUUACCGACUCGGGAUCAGGUGGGAUCUUAAGCCCGCUUGGCACCGUACGAGAAAUCAAAGUCUUUGGGUUCUGGGGGGAGUAUGGUCGCAAGGCUGAAACUUAAAGGAAUUGACGGAAGGGCACCACCAGGAGUGGAGCCUGCGGCUUAAUUUGACUCAACACGGGGAAACUUACCAGGUCAAAACAUGGGUGUGAUGGACAGAUUGAGAGCUCUUUCUUGAUUCUAUGGGUGGUGGUGCAUGGCCGUUCUUAGUUGGUGGAGCGAUUUGUCAGGUUAAUUCCUUUAACGAACGAGACCUUAACCUGCUAACUAGUGCCCUGUCUCCACAUGGGCCACUUCUUAGAGGGACUAUGCGAGUUUAUCGCAUGGAAGUUUGAGGCAAUAACAGGUCUGUGAUGCCCUUAGAUGUCCUGGGCCGCACGCGCGCUACAAUGGCACAUGCAACGAGUGUUCUGAUCAGAAAUGAUUGGGCAAUCUGCGAGGGUGUGCCGUGAUGGGGAUCGAUCUUUGCAAUUGUGGAUCGUGAACGAGGAAUUCCUAGUAAGCACAAGUCAUCAGCUUGUGCUGAUUACGUCCCUGCCCUUUGUACACACCGCCCGUCGCUCCUACCGAUUUUGAGUGAUCCGGUGAACCUUCUGGACCGAGCUUGCUUGGAAAGUUAAGUAAACCCCGAUCAACUAGAGGAACGGCCCCU
Molecule: ribosomal RNA, 1696 nt
Filed under: Trichodina mutabilis
Lineage: Eukaryota; Ciliophora; Oligohymenophorea; Mobilida; Trichodinidae
Description: SSU rRNA
Rfam family: Eukaryotic small subunit ribosomal RNA
Source: RNAcentral